AAUGGGCGAAAGCCUGACGGAGCAACGCCGCGUGAAUGAAGAAGGCCUUCGGGUUGUAAAGUUCUGUCUUAUGGGAAGAAUGUCAUCCAUGUGAAUAAUGUGCAUGAAUGACGGUACCAUAGGAGGAAGCUCCGGCUAACUACGUGCCAGCAGCCGCGGUAAUACGUAGGGAGCAAGCGUUGUCCGGAAUUACUGGGCGUAAAGGGCGUGUAGGCGGAUAUUUAAGUCAGGUGUGAAACCUCUGGGCUCAACCUAGAGAUUGCACUUGAAACUGGAUAUCUUGAGUGCAGGAGAGGGAAGUGGAAUUCCUAGUGUAGCGGUGAAAUGCGUAGAUAUUAGGAGGAACACCAGUGGCGAAGGCGGCUUCCUGGCCUGUAACUGACGCUGAGGCGCGAAAGCGUGGGUAGCGAA
This 411-nucleotide ribosomal RNA is filed under the name uncultured bacterium. Its description in RNAcentral is "bacterial SSU rRNA". It matches the Rfam family "Bacterial small subunit ribosomal RNA", at positions 370 to 772 of the family's 1533-position model. The record is from RNAcentral.